This is a long non-coding RNA of Eufriesea mexicana, 1245 nucleotides long. RefSeq lists it as uncharacterized. The transcript has 3 exons. Lineage: Eukaryota; Metazoa; Arthropoda; Insecta; Hymenoptera; Apidae. The record is from RefSeq and is a predicted model, not a curated record.
UUGGCAAAGGAUCCACCAGUUUUAAGCCGUUUUCUGCUUAAACGACUCUUCGUGACUUCUGAUCGGAGGGUGGUGAAAGGGGGAAGAUGAUUUAUGGAUGAAAGUGAAAGGUCGAAUUCGAGGAUUUGGAAGCGAAAGGAGAGGUCCGGCUGUCUCUUGUUGCUGUUUCAUGUGAAGGAAAAUGGAUUAUAAGAUAUAAAUACGGGAGGAAUUUGAGACGGUGGUGGGGAAAACGCUAGUAGAAUGGGAAGCUCCUGUUUCAGACGGCCGUCUAGUAGAAUAGAAUUUGGCAGGAACUUUAAAACGCACAAAUGAAUCAAUGCACGAUCAUCCGAAUACCUUUAAUGUUACUCCAAUACACCGAUUAACAUGUACAAAUUUAAACAAAAACUCAUUCACUACCAAUAUAGAAAAUAACAUGUGCUGAAGCAAAUUGGAAGUAAAAAUAAAUUCCGUCAUUAAUCUCGUGCAUUAGUCAAACGUCCACGAGAUUAUUCCCACAAUAUUACUCAUGAACAAACGUCCAAAUCGACUUGAACAACAUGCCAUGGAACACGAUUAACAUACCGAUGAUCCUCGCUUAUCGUCGUCAAGAAAUACUCGCGUUACCGAAACGGUAAGAUACGCCGUUAAAGAUAGUCGGUAUCUUACUUAAAUGGAAUUUGAAUCAAAUUUGAGGAAUCAACUACCACGUAGACCGCGAUACCAGCGUCGAUGGAAACGCGCCCGGCAUUCUCGUUAGGCACCGUCGCAACGUCAACAACGACCCGGUGAGUGUAAAUAGCGAAAAGCUGAACGUUUUAUCACAGCUGCACGAGAUGGGCGAGAAUUCUCGACAGGUUUCGAAGAUCCGCGUCGCAAACGGCAGAUUUUCGUCAAAAGCUCUUCGCUCACCUGUUGACCCAUCGGUCAACCUCUUUCCAUCACCUAUUACGAGUUAUUUAUAAGGCAAUUCGCUUCUGAUAAGAUCAGAGGGCGAGUGAAAUUCUAUAACGCGCUUGCAACGCGAUUCGAACAUGUCAACGACACUACUCAUCGAUGGCCGAUCCACGAGCGAAACCGAUGACCCUGCAGCUUUUCAAGUACGGCAUAUCUAAAUCGGUAUACGAAGUGAGGCGCGGUUGCAGAGGUCGAACGUUAGGCGAAUAAUUCCACGAAGUGAGAGGCGUGGGACGAUAGUAGACGAUUCUGGUUCUAUUUGCCGAGGGCUAGGAUAAUUUCGUGCGUGAAUCGAUCUUCGAUCGA